ACAACAGUUGGAAACGACUGCUAAUACCGCAUAAGCCCACGGCUCGGCAUCGAGCAGAGGGAAAAGGAGCAAUCCGCUUUGAGAUGGCCUCGCGUCCGAUUAGCUAGUUGGUGAGGUAACGGCCCACCAAGGCGACGAUCGGUAGCCGGACUGAGAGGUUGAACGGCCACAUUGGGACUGAGACACGGCCCAGACUCCUACGGGAGGCAGCAGUGGGGAAUAUUGCACAAUGGGGGAAACCCUGAUGCAGCGACGCCGCGUGGAGGAAGAAGGUCUUCGGAUUGUAAACUCCUGUUGUUGAGGAAGAUAAUGACGGUACUCAACAAGGAAGUGACGGCUAACUACGUGCCAGCAGCCGCGGUAAAACGUAGGUCACAAGCGUUGUCCGGAAUUACUGGGUGUAAAGGGAGCGCAGGCGGGAAGACAAGUUGGAAGUGAAAUCCAUGGGCUCAACCCAUGAACUGCUUUCAAAACUGUUUUUCUUGAGUAGUGCAGAGGUAGGCGGAAUUCCCGGUGUAGCGGUGGAAUGCGUAGAUAUCGGGAGGGACACCAGUGGCGAAGGCGGCCUACUGGGCACCAACUGACGCUGAGGCUCGAAAGUGUGGGUAGCAAACAGGAUUAGAUACCCUGGUAGUCCACACUGUAAAC
RNAcentral lists this ribosomal RNA (648 nucleotides) under uncultured bacterium. RNAcentral's name for it is "bacterial SSU rRNA". It matches the Rfam family "Bacterial small subunit ribosomal RNA", at positions 143 to 807 of the family's 1533-position model. The record is from RNAcentral.